Molecule: non-coding RNA, 101 nt
Organism: Phyllosticta citrichinensis
Lineage: Eukaryota; Fungi; Ascomycota; Dothideomycetes; Botryosphaeriales; Phyllostictaceae
Source: the annotation of a GenBank genome assembly
GGGUCUGUGGUCUAGGGGUAUGACACUCCCUUAGCAUCGAGCUGCUCAAAAGCUAUGCUCUGAUGUGGGAGAGGUCCCGAGCUCGAUUCUUGGCGGAUCCA